Otolemur garnettii (small-eared galago) is the source of this 189-nucleotide non-coding RNA. The record is from Rfam. Lineage: Eukaryota; Metazoa; Chordata; Mammalia; Primates; Galagidae.
AUUGCUUCUUGGCUUUUUGGCUAAGAUCAAGUGUAGUAUCUGUUCAAGUUUGAUUUUUUGGUCUUUUAGUAGCUCCCUUCUAUAUUUCGAUUAUGAUAAAUGCUAUAAUGAUGCUGACAAAAAUCUCCAAAAAGUACCUUAGUGAAUUCCUAACUUAAAUACAUCUCUUAUAAGGGGAGGAAAAAAGAA